AGUGAACGCUGGCGGUAGGCCUAACACAUGCAAGUCGAACGGCAGCACAGUAAGAGCUUGCUCUUACGGGUGGCGAGUGGCGGACGGGUGAGGAAUACAUCGGAAUCUACUUUUUCGUGGGGGAUAACGUAGGGAAACUUACGCUAAUACCGCAUACGACCUACGGGUGAAAGCAGGGGAUCUUCGGACCUUGCGCGAUUGAAUGAGCCGAUGUCGGAUUAGCUAGUUGGCGGGGUAAAGGCCCACCAAGGCGACGAUCCGUAGCUGGUCUGAGAGGAUGAUCAGCCACACUGGAACUGAGACACGGUCCAGACUCCUACGGGAGGCAGCAGUGGGGAAUAUUGGACAAUGGGCGCAAGCCUGAUCCAGCCAUACCGCGUGGGUGAAGAAGGCCUCCGGGUUGUAAAGCCCUUUUGUUGGGAAAGAAAAGCAGCAGCUUAAUACCCCGCUGUUCUGACGGUACCCAAAGAAUAAGCACCGGCUAACUUCGUG
This 492-nucleotide ribosomal RNA is filed under the name uncultured bacterium. RNAcentral describes it as "partial 16S ribosomal RNA". It matches the Rfam family "Bacterial small subunit ribosomal RNA", at positions 29 to 507 of the family's 1533-position model. The record is from RNAcentral.